UCCAAUAUUUUCUCACCAGUCGAACAGAGGUUCCAGGCAACGGUUCCAACCAAGUAGAGCCCAACUGAAACCUUGAAACAUCAUCCCACGAACCUGAAAAAGGUGAGGGUAGAAAAAUGUAAGAAUCAACUACUCGAGUAAAACUUGACGUCUCCAAAUUCAAUUAAAAAAAGGGUUGGUGAAAAUGGAACCCCACCAAAAUUCCAAUUAAGCUUGAAGAUGAAGACAAUCAUUCACCAGUGCAACACAAGUCAAAGCAGGCUGUGAUGACCUUUUCUUACCAGUUCUGUUGAAAUAACGACCAUGCGAGUCCACGGAUGUUUCUUAUUUCAAGAUUUUUUUUUUUUUUUUUUUAGAUUCAACAAGGUGUUCUUUUGUAUUUGAUUCAUUGAAUUUGUUAUUUAAUUUGUAUCUUGGCAUUCUUACAGGAUCACUGCAAGAUCUCCAUACCAAACAAUUGGCUUGUCGGGCUCUCCUUCUAAGCCAGCUGAAAGCAAGUGGCUGCUUAAUCUUCGCAGUAACACGAUUGCUAAUCAUAUUUGAUUUUUAGGUUUUUACAAUUCAGGCGCGGCCCACCCCCCCUUCUUUUUUUGUUUUAUCUUUGCUUGUUUUUGUGGCGGAUGUUGAAUCCUGCUGUUUCCUUUUGGUUGUUUUUAAGCCAAGGCUUUUUCUCCGGCCACUAUAGACCUAACAGUUUAUCAAUCUUACUAUUAGUUCAUUCUAUGUAAAAA
Molecule: unclassified non-coding RNA, 731 nt
Filed under: Hevea brasiliensis (rubber tree)
Lineage: Eukaryota; Viridiplantae; Streptophyta; Magnoliopsida; Malpighiales; Euphorbiaceae
Source: RNAcentral